Molecule: ribosomal RNA, 510 nt
Filed under: uncultured bacterium
Lineage: Bacteria
Description: partial 16S ribosomal RNA
Rfam family: Bacterial small subunit ribosomal RNA
Source: RNAcentral
GACGAACGCUGGCGGCGUGCUUAACACAUGCAAGUCGAACGAAGAGCGAUGGAAGCUUGCUUCUAUCAAUCUUAGUGGCGAACGGGUGAGUAACGCGUAAUCAACCUGCCCUUCAGAGGGGGACAACAGUUGGAAACGACUGCUAAUACCGCAUACGAUCUAAUCUCGGCAUCGAGGAUAGAUGAAAGGUGGCCUCUACAUGUAAGCUAUCACUGAAGGAGGAGUAUGCGGCUGCUUAGGUAGGUGGGUGGGGAAAGGGCCAACAAGGCGAUGAUCGGGAGGCGGUCGUGAGGGAGGAACGGCCCAAUUGGGAAUGAGACAAGGCCCAGAACCCUAAGGGAGGCAGCAGGGGGGAAUUUUCCGCAAUGGACGAAAGUCUGACGGAGCAACGCCGCGGGAGUGAUGACGGCCUUCGGGUUGUAAAGCUCUGUUAAUCGGGACGAAAGGACUGCUUGAGAAUAGUGAGAAGGAUUGACGGUACCGGAAUAGAAAGCCACGGCUAACUACGUG